AUACGGAGGGUGCAAGCGUUAUCCGGAAUCAUUGGGUUUAAAGGGUCCGCAGGCGGACUGAUAAGUCAGUGGUGAAAUCCCGUAGCUUAACUACGGAACUGCCAUUGAAACUGUCAGUCUUGAAUUCGAUCGAAGUGGGCGGAAUGUGUCAUGUAGCGGUGAAAUGCAUAGAUAUGACACAGAACACCGAUAGCGAAGGCAGCUCACUAGGCCUGAAUUGACGCUCAGGGACGAAAGCGUGGGGAGCGAACAGAAUUAGAAACCCUAGUAGUCC
Molecule: ribosomal RNA, 274 nt
Filed under: uncultured bacterium
Lineage: Bacteria
Description: partial 16S ribosomal RNA
Rfam family: Bacterial small subunit ribosomal RNA
Source: RNAcentral